This is a long non-coding RNA of Manis pentadactyla (Chinese pangolin), 7751 nucleotides long. RefSeq lists it as uncharacterized. The transcript is spliced from 4 exons. The record is from RefSeq and is a predicted model, not a curated record. NCBI's taxonomy places the organism in Eukaryota, Metazoa, Chordata, Mammalia, Pholidota, Manidae.
UGCACGCUCCGCCUCAGGCCCCGCCCCGCCCCCCCGGCGUGGGGGAGGCGGGGCCUCGGCAAGGGCGGCAGGUGGGGCUGCGGCUGUGCAAGGCCGGACCAGGCCCCGCCCAAGGCUGCUGCUGUCCUGUGCCCGCCGCCGCCCGCGCACCAGCCACCGUCGCGGACCACUUCCCGCCCUGUGCCGCCCUCUCGCGCGCUACCAAUCGGUUCCUCGGUGGUUCAGGUCACCUCCGCACAGGGAUGCCCUCCCCGAACACCCAAGCGAAGAGUGUUUUUCCUGGAUCUACCGAUGUCCAGAUCCCUCUUACCCCUCCAUCGAUGCUUCUCCAUGGCUCUGAACUCCUGCUACACGGUUGAUCCCAUGCCAUCCUCAUGGAGGCCCAUUUGACAGCAGGGUCGCCUGCCCUUACCUGCCCUUGCCUUGUGAGUGUCCGAGGGAGAGUGGCUGUUGAGGACACUGUGGAGGCCUGGAGGCCCGCAUUCCCCACAGCUGUGCUGGGAGCCCUCACUCUGCCGGCUACGCCAGCAUCCCAGCACUGCCAAUCGUCCGCUCCUGGUGCCCUCAGCCUGGCACUGAGAGUGAGGGGCCUCCUAACGCUGGUGUGGCCAUGCUGCCCCUGCUGAAACCGCCACGGCUUCCGCUGCUCCUGGCGCCAGUCCCACGACUUUGUGGGGCUCCCCAGGCUCUGAGCCCUGCCCAGCCCCACCUCAUUGUCCCGUCUCCCCUCUUUUCCUGUCCCCAGAGGGCACGAAGCUCUCUCCCAGUUCAGCGUUUUAGCACCUGCUGCCCGUCUGCUGAGCUGCCGGGACACUUUGGCACACUCUCCACCCCAGCCCCAACAUCUGCAGACGGAGGCAGGAGCCUGAACGGACCCCGGCCCAUCCUUCUCCUCCUGCCUGCCCUCUGCCUGGCACCGUGAGGGGACUGUGAGGACGCCCCCACUGCAGGUCCACACCGCAUCCAGAAACUCCCCUCUCCUGGGCCACACCCAGAGCCGAGAGGUGUGUGCCCUGGCAGAAUAGUCUGCUGUGGGGUGGAUGGACCUGGAAGAGCCCCCCACAGGCCCUGGAAGUGAGCUGGGACAUCUGAGCAGAGAACAGGUGACCCUGGGUACCCUGGUCCCCCCACCAGCGUUCUGACAUACUCCAUGAUAGAAAAAGCCAGCCUUGAACAUCUACCAAGCUCAGGGAGCACAGCUUCAGGGAAGCACCACACACAUGCGCUCUCUCUUGAAUUUCCCUUUUCCUGCCCCAUUCACAGCAUCCCUCUGGACUCACUGUUGGGGAUCAGGAGAGGGAGGAGAAUAAAAGGGCAGGAAAGUGUUGGUUGUGCCCUCUAGGAGGGUCAGAGAGCAUGGCUCUCUUGUGGCUGCUCUGUGAGUGCGUUGGAGACACCACCCGUGGGUGCUCUGCUCCUCGACCAGGGUGAUAGUGAUGCCAGAGUUCUUGUUCGUGGAGUCGAAGAAUGAACUUUGCAAACACUCUUGGUGGAAGAGCAAGGCAGAGACUUUUCUUUAGAGAUAAAGUGAGAGGACAGAGCUCCUGGCUCACGAAGGGAGGGGACAAGAGAGUCCAGGGUGGUGUGUUGUCUAGGGGAUUUAUAGGCGGUUGAGACAAAGGGCUAGGGAUGCAGACCUGCCAGAAGGUCCCAAAAUGUUUAUAUUUGAAGAGACACUAAGUUUCUUAUCAGUCUUCUGGGUUAUUCUGCAAAGUUAACACAAGAAAUUUACUGCUUUGAUUUUUUCCCAGGAUAGCAGCUUCCUGGACUGGGAACAUAUCAAGACUGCCUGUCCUGCUCCCAAGGUGGACUCAGUUAUUGUCUGUUUGUUAAAGAGUAUGUUAAGAAACUUACUUUUUAACUUAUUGGGUUUUAAAAUGCAAUCUUACCUUUAAGAUGGAGUCCUUCUUGUUUUUACUAUGUUAUUUAUGACUGGGCUUGCUUGCCAUUAUUAAUGCCUAGGUUGCAGAUCAUUUGAUUUAGGGCUGAAGGAAGAAAAUCAGCAUCUGGGUAAAGUUAAAGAAAAUAAGCAGGGCCUUUUAGCAGGCUAAAGUAAAUCAUACAAUAGCCUGACUUAAUUGACACAAUGAAGACAUGGGCUAUGCUGAGUUGUUUUCUUAUCUGGGGGAUAUUCAAACAUUCCAGUCCAAGUUACUCCUGGGUUUUUAGUUUUAACUAAUCUCACUGAAGAAUGCCUAUAUUCCUAGUUUGACAUUUUUACCGUAGAGAAUUAAUGUAACUCUGACUUUGCUUAAUGUUUAAUAAGGAGUUUUGGUAGGGGUUUCUUUGCACAUUGUUACGUUGUUCUGGCUGUGAUUAACCUGCUUUGCUUUUUCCUGGAGGUCCUCACCCUACUCUGUCUAAACCCACAGUCCUUAUCUCAAUAGCCUCAAGCCAACAGCCUAGGCACAGGCGCCCAUCUGCGCAGGCGUCCUGCUGAGCGACCUCUUCUCACCCUUGCUCUGCACUCAGCUCCAGGUGCUUGGGCUACACUCGCCCAGCAGCUCUCUUGAAGGUCCCCUCAUUCCUGAGGGGGGAGUAAGGACAACUUUUUCCUUAAAGAAAAGCUCUUUUCAUUUUCAUUUCUAGUCCCACACUGCGGCCUAGUGGCAGGUGGUAGCUAAAGGUCAAGGACCAAUUUGUUGCCAUCUUUCUACAAGUCUUGCACUGCUCUCUAGUUGAGGGGCGGAGGGUGGGGCACUCUUUUUGGAGCUUUGACCAAGAUCUCUGGACUAGGAGAUUUUGAAAAAUCUUGUUACAUGAAAAAAGGUUUUGCACCUGUAGGGAUUCAAUAUGCACCUCAAUGGCAUAAUGAUUAUUUUAAGCUAAGAACAUCUAAACAAACAGCAGCUACAGAAAAAAACCUCCUUUUGCAGAUGUAAGCAGGACCUCCUGGAAAAUACAGCCGCCACACAUCCCCUCUCUGGGAGGUUUACAGCCAGAGAGGAGACUGCCAUUAGCACUGGGAUGAGUAAUUGCUUCAACAAACUUUAGCUGUUCUACCUUCCAUUUGUUCUUUCAGAGGCUCCUUUCUCCUUCACCCCUUUCCUCUUAUUAAGUGGGUUUAUAAACCUCUUUCUUUGGAUGUCUGGGGAGCCAGUUCAUCAGAAGGAUCCCUGGUAAAUAAACUUUCCCCUCUCUCCUGUUAAUCUGUGUGUUGUUAGUUAAUUCACAGGCCCCCAAGCACUGACCCUAAAUCCGUGGAGGAAAAUGCUUUCCUCCCAACAAUUCUCCUCCAGACAAGUGUGUGGAUGACGGUCUCAGACUUUCUAUCUGGUCCUGGACUGGCUCUUUCCGCUCAGCCAGUGUUACAGCAGAGCCCAGGGUUCCCUCCCUCGCACCCUAUCUCUCAUAUGUGCUGAUUGGAUUAAAAGAGAUGGGGAAAGAGAGAACAUGAGAGAUUAUCCUGCUAAAUUUGUUACUUAUAUAAGUCAUUGUACCUCCAGCUCAGCCACAAUCGCCAAAGGGCUGAUGUGUGCCCCGGAGUGACUGCACAAAAGGAAGGCUUUCCUGGUUUUAAAGCAAUAAUGGCUAGGAGAGGGCAUGAAUUAUGCUUGUUUUCAUUCCAUCUGGUCUCAUUGCAUUUGAAUGGAAUAUAAAAUGUCACCAGGUGGUGAUUACACAGUGACUGAACCCCUCCCAAAAAAGUCAACAGCGUCUGUAUUCGUCAGCUUGGGCUGCCAUUACAAAAUGCCACAGACUAGGUGGCUUCAACAGCAGGAAUCUAUCUCUCACCAUUCUGGAGGCUGGGAGUCUGAGAUCAGGGUGCCAGCUGACUUGUUCUUGGUGAACAAACCUCUUCCUAACUUGCAGACGUCAGCCUUGCUGUGUCCCCACAGGGCUGCAUGGUGGGGUUGCGGCAGGGGGAGCUCUGGUGUCUCUUCUAGAGGACAUUAAUCCUAUCAAUGGGGCACAUUCUCAUGAUCUCCUCAAAACCUCCUCACUCCCCAAAGGCCCCUUCUCCAAACACCAUCACUCUGGGGCUCAGGGCUUCCACAGAGGAAUUUGGGGUGGGAGACACACAAACAUUCCAGCCAUACCAGUUUCUCUAUAAACAAAGACUAACCAGUUAAAAAGUAUUAUAAUAAAUACAACACGAAGUGUUUGUGUUAAAAUAUGUUACUUUUGUGUUUCCACCGUCCUUUGGUGGAUCUCACCAGCAGACAUCAAACCUACCUUUCCUGUCCCCCUCCUGCUAGUGACUCAACCCACCCUCCCUGGGAAUUACAGGCUCCAACAGGAGAAUCCGGUGUAGAAAAAAAUUUUGUGUUUCAAUAGGAACUGUGUGCCAUCUGACACACUCCCUUCUGGGUCCUCAGCUCUGUUGUCUUUGAGCUAUUUUGCAACUCUUAGUAUGUCCUAAGGGACUGAUGCAUAACUGCUGCCCUGUCCAGAAGUGAUUCUGACUUCCUCCCACCGUGGAAAAAUCACUUUUGUCCCUAUUUGCAAUUCAUCUCAACAUUCCUUUAUUCCACAAAAAUGUGUGCCAUUUUGAGUUGUCCUUUGAAAUGGCUGUAACCUCAGCCUGGUUUUCUCAGAUUGUAUGAGCCAAAUACAUUCUUCCACAUGUGUUCCAUUCAUUUUUCCAUCUGUAAGAGAGUCUUGGAAAGGUAAGAUCCUAUCUUUCCCUGAAAGUUGUCUUAACACAGGGGAGCCUUUGGGAGAAGGGGCAGGGCUCAGCUUCCAGAGAACAGGGGGAGUUUCCAGGCCCUGUGGCUUCACCGUUCUGGGCCAUGGCCACCCAUCUUCCCCACAUGUGGGGCGGUUCUCAACUCCUUUCUUUCUUGCACCCCUACAUCCAACCCUGUGGCAGGCUGAAUAAUGGCCCUUGGAAGAUGUCCACGUCCUCACCUCUGAAACCUGUGAGUAAAACAGGAUCUUUGCAGAUAUGAGUAAAUUAAGGAUUUUGAGAAGGGGAGGCUAUCUCGGAUUAUUUAAUUGGGCCCAAUAUAAUCUCAAGGAAGCCAGGGGGCAGAGGUCAGGAAAGGGGCUGUGAAGGUAGGAGCAGCAGCUGAAGGUGGAGGGAAGGCCGGGAGUCAGCAGACCCAGCGGCCUCUCCGGAAAAGGUGGAAGCUGGAAAAGACAAGGGGACAGUGCCCCAAGGGAACCAGCCAGGACCACGCUCUGUAAGACUCCUCAGACUCCUGAGCUUCAGAACUUGAAGGGAAUACAUUUGUGCUGUUUUAUAUUUGGAGUAAUUUGCAGCAGCAGCAGAGGAAACUAGUGCAAACACCACCACGAAUCAUGUUGGCUGUACCUUCGGAGUGUAGCCAAGGAUCUUCCCAGCUCUGCCGCCGCUUCCUGGGCCCAGCCAGCUCCUUCCCUGCCUGGGUUGCUGGGGCCUGCUCAUGGGUCUCCCUGGCUGCCCUGGGCCUCCGGCAUCUCCUGUCCAUGGACGCUGCCAAGGAGGUCCCUGGCUUUCCACCCUGGCACGGCCCCUCCAGGUGCUGCCGUGGCUCCAGAGCAGCACGCGGGUGCCCAACCCUCACAUUUCCACUUGGUGCAGGGGCAUGCCCUGCCUCCCCGUCCACCACCAGAGACAGUGGUGACAGGUGCCCUGCAGAGGCUCGUCCAGACUUAAUUUACAGCCAGCAAUAGGGUUUCAUCGCCAGCUUGCAGACAGGCAGCCCCCAAAUCCCAAGUCAAGAGUUCACUUUCUGACAGCUCCGGGUCUCAGCUGUCACCUCAGGCCAGGGUCCGGGGACUGACUGAGUCCUAUACCAUGCCUGUGUUUGUUGUUAUCUCCAGAUACCACUGGAAAUCCACUUCGAUCCUGUCACUGCCACCAAAUCUAUUACAGAAUAAAAACCCAACUGAGGAUGUCUGGAGAACUAAUUGGCUGUAUUCACUGACCAGGAACUAGGCAGCAUCCCAUCUACAAACAGGUAACAACGCUCUCCUGCCCCUACCCUGUAUACUGUCCUGCCAGGAGCCUUUAAGAUUGCCCCUUAAUUCCUGGCCUGUAGCCGGACCAUGAAGUGUGUCCCUGUGGGUCUCUUUCCUUUGAGUCAAUUCAGCACCUGGGGGUCUUUCCUUCUGGAGACUUGGCUUCAGGCACCUACAGGAACUGACCCAGACCUUCAUUUCAAAUGUGAGUGGGCAGCCCACUGAGCACCAGACAUUUCCGCAAAAUGGACAGCAAAACUGAGAAGGACCAAAAUGAGCAACAGAAGAAAACAGAUCAUUCAGGGAACUGAAAGUUCCAAAGUGCUGAGGGCCCCUCUAGGUCCAUGGCCUCUGUAACCCCGGUGGCCAGGGGCUGCUCAUGAUUGUCCUUUCCUCACCCCCUCACCCCUCCCGCCCCAGGCAGUGGUUUGAUAUCUGUCCCUCUCUUUUCCGACCUCCAGUGUACCUCCCCAGUCCUCACCCUUAACAUUCCCUUGGUUUCCCUGAGAAUUGGAGACUCCGAGGGGGGUUCUCAUGAGCUCCCACCCAGGCCCGCCACUUACCCGAGGCUGCCGUGAGCCCUGCUCCCUGCCUGUCUCCAUGAGUUGCCGCCCUGCUCAGCGAGCCCAGCUGCCCCUGAGCUGAGGUUGCCCCCCUCUCCAUCUUAGGGACGUAGCUCACCCUCUCCCCACUGCAUGCCAGCAUGCAAAUGUGAUUUUUUACAUCUUGAAUCACAACAAACAAUACUCUGCUGCCCCCUCCAGACACUGCCUCUUCCUCCCUUUGCAGGUAACUUGAAACCCUUGUCUACACUUAUUGCCCCUGAUUCUUCAUCUCCUAUUAUCUCAACCAGGAUUUUGCCCCCACCAUUCUACAAAACAACCAUGACAAGAUCAAUGAUGACCCCUUGUAACUAAACCCAAGGGCCAGUUCUCAGGCCUCGUGGACACAGGUCACCACCUGCCUUCUGGGACACCGUCCUCGCUGCUCCCAGCCUCUGCAGUCCCCUGCCCACGGGUCAGCCCCAGCAGCCCCUCCUCCCUCUCCUCGCUGGGUGGCCCUCAGCUGCCCACCCUCCUAACACUGCAACCUCUGGCCUCAUCCCUGAAACUCCCCUCUUUGUUUAGACUCUUCAUGGGCUAAGCCCAUCUACACACAGUUUCUGCAGCCCCGACUUUACUCCUCUGAACUUGAGACGUGUGUAUUUAACUCUACUUUUGGAUGUCAGGGGACACCUGCUAGCAGUCCAACACAGCACUCCCAACCUCCAAAUGGCCCCCCGUGGCCAGGGUGAUUCUUUUAAAAAGCAAAUGCUAUCUCAUUUCUCUGCUCAAAACCAGUCAGGGGCUCCACCUGCCACCCUGAGAGAAAGCCAUUGCUCUUAGUGGCCUCCAGGACGGCAGGAUCCGCAGGCUUGUAGGUCAAGAGGGAGAGCUCAUUUUGAGCGGGCCAAUACUGAGGUUCCUGAGGAAUGUCCCCUAUGUCCCCUUGACUGUGUCCAGAACAAAAAGGAGAACCAAGAGCAUAUUCUGUUUAUAGAACAAGAACAGAUGCUUACGGAAAAAGUUGCAAGAAAGAAUUCUAGGAAACUGGAAAUAUUUGUUAAGUUGAAAAGAAUCAAUAGUUGAAUGGAAAGGUGAAAUUACAGAAUCUGUCUACCUGGGGAUGCCAAUGUAAAUAAGUUGUGUACAUAUAAUCUGCUUUUAUAUUAUUUUAAAUACAAAAUAUAAAAAUAAAUACACAUAUUUGCAACACAAUGCCCCAAACUCCCAAAAUCUUCAGUGUGCCUCUUCCCAAACUGAAGACAUUCUUCUACCCAAUCAGGAAGUCAGCACUAAGUGUUGGUGUCACACCGACGUCACAUU